CCCGCACAAGCAGUGGAGUAUGUGGUUUAAUUCGAAGCAACGCGAAGAACCUUACCAGGGCUUGACAUCCCUUGAAGCAGCUAGAGAUAGCUGUGUCCUUCGGGACAAGGAGACAGGUGGUGCAUGGUUGUCGUCAGCUCGUGUCGUGAGAUGUUGGGUUAAGUCCCGCAACGAGCGCAACCCCUACUGCCAGUUACUAACAGGUAAUGCUGAGGACUCUGGCGGAACUGCCGUUGACAAACGGAGGAAGGUGGGGAUGACGUCAAAUCAUCAUGCCCCUUAUGUUCUGGGCUACACACGUGCUACAAUGGCCGGUACAGACGGACGCAAAGCCGCGAGGUGGAGCAAAUCCUAAAAAGCCGGUCUCAGUUCGGAUUGCAGGCUGCAAUUCGCCUGCAUGAAGUCGGAAUCGCUAGUAAUCGCGGAUCAGCACGCCGCGGUGAAUACGUUCCCGGGCCUU
RNAcentral lists this ribosomal RNA (460 nucleotides) under uncultured Bacillus sp. RNAcentral describes it as "bacterial SSU rRNA". It matches the Rfam family "Bacterial small subunit ribosomal RNA", at positions 920 to 1382 of the family's 1533-position model. The record is from RNAcentral. Lineage: Bacteria; Bacillati; Bacillota; Bacilli; Caryophanales; Bacillaceae.